AAAAUUUUGUCAAUGGUUGUGUGUGUGUGUGUGUGUAUAUGUUAUAUGUAUGAGUAUGUGUAUGAGGCGAAACGGACACCCCUCCGUCCAGAAUACAUUUUAGGUUAAAAAAUCAGCAAGUAUGUAAAUUGUAGCUGGAAAUGUCUAUUUUUAAAUGUCAUUUAGCAUUUUUUUUAAAUUUAACAUGGCGGUAGCAAUAUAGUACCAAAUUAAGACUAUAUUCUCUCAUUUAUGAACAGAAUAUUUGAUCAAAAUGUCAGAACAUGAUAUAUAGGCUUCAAAAUAAACAUUUAGGGGUUUUCAGGGCCAUUAAUUACGAAUAUAAAGUCUAAAAAAUACAAUUCAAAAUGAUAGUGACAAUAUAGCGUCAUAUCGGAACUGAAAUCACUAAUUUACUCGCAGAAUAUUCGAUUAAAAUAUCAGAAAAUAAUACUUUGACUAAAAAUGGGUAACUAGAAUUUUUUGGGACCACUGAUUACAAGUAAAGUCAAAAAAAUAAAACUAUAUUUGAACAAUAAUUCCAAUUUUUGGAAAUAUAUUCUGAGCAGGAGCUAUUUCACAGAAAACGCCCCGUGUGUGUGUGUGUGUAUAGAGAAGAAAAGGCGGUUAUGGACUAGAUAUGAAAUUCGCGAUAUCUUGUAUACUUUGGGUUGAGUUCUGGGGAUAACUGUCCGAAUUACUUCUUUACGUAUUGUUUAGAUUUUAGAUGUUAUAAUAUAGCCACUGGUUAUUAGUGUUUGUUUUGUUGUCUUAAAAACUGCAUUUCAGGGGGUCUAUUCUUGAAUUUAUUCGCAAGAGAAACUUCUAUAGGAUUUACCUCAUUUUGAAAAAUGUCGGGUAUUAAUUUUUUAACAUUAGUGUAAUUUGAAGGGCUUGAAUAUAGCUUUCAAAUAACGUAAUUUAAUGUUUGACGUAAUGUGUGCAUGCAGUUAACAUGUAAAGUUAUACUUAUGUUCAGAGUUAUGGAUCCUUGCGAUUGUCGCAAGUCUGAGUUCCAUAAUCUCUUCCCUCGUAAUAUUUUUACGAUACUUAGCUAACAUUGAUUGUAUUAUAAUACUUUUAUAGUAUUUAUAUAAUAUGCAAAGUCGCAAGAGUCAAAGAUUUUUAUAUUUAUAUUUUUGUAUGAUACUUUUGUAUGAUAUUAUGUACAAGAAAUUGAUGCUUUUGUGAUACUGAUCUGCAAGCCAAUAUCUGCAAGCUUUAUUUUUUAUUUUUUAGAAAUAAAAAUAAUUUUAAGAAUAUUCAUUGAUGAUGUUCCAUAUCCCCCUACAGGUUCCAUAACCGCAAUCUUUUUUCCUUUUUCAGUAAAUUGCUAAUUAUGUUCGUUAUGUAGAACUUCUGCUUAGAACAUGAUUGGUAGAACUAUACUAAUCUAUGGAUAACAAAACUUGUACCAACAAAAAUUGUCACAAAUUUUUACCGAGUUACUUAAAUAAAACAAAAUGGUGGUUUAUAACCCCCUUCUUUCCUCUAUGUAUAUAUUUUAUAUACAUAAAUAUAAAUAUUAUAUAUAUAAAUAUAAAUAUAUAUAUAUUUUUUUAUUAUAAUUACUCUCAAGUACCACACAUAUAUAUCUAGUCGAUAAUUAAUGUGUAAAAUUGAUCAAUAUACAUAAAUAAAUAGUGUACAUAAUCAAUAUUUUCUAUUUAUAAUGUAUUUACAACUUACAUUUCGUUUCUUACUUAAAUUACAGGUUAUAUUUCAAUGUAAAGUGCAAAUAACAUUCGCGAUUACAUCCCUGCACAAGAUCUUAGACAUAAAAAUUUAUAUAUGCAAAUGCAUUCAUAUUAUUUUACUUGUUAUAUUAAGUAUUAUUAUAUAUAUUUAGUCUAAUCAUAAUGAUAAAUAUAAAAUAUUAAGCGUAACAAUUUUAGAAGAAAAAAAAAAGAUAUAUUUAAGGACACAUCUCGAAAUAAGACAAACAUAUUUUACAAUAUUAAAUUUGUAACGUAUAAGUUAACUAUGUCAUAAUUAUUAUAUCAAUUAGUAGAGUUAGAGGUAGAUUAAGGUGGUGACAUUACCUGGGCCGCUACUCACCUACAGGCACUGAGCCUGCCAUGGGAGUAGGUGAUGAUGACACCAUGGGCAAACGACCCUGUUCUUUUACUAUAGGAU
This is a long non-coding RNA of Monomorium pharaonis (pharaoh ant), 2115 nucleotides long. RefSeq lists it as uncharacterized. The transcript is spliced from 2 exons. The record is from RefSeq and is a predicted model, not a curated record. NCBI's taxonomy places the organism in Eukaryota, Metazoa, Arthropoda, Insecta, Hymenoptera, Formicidae.